Molecule: long non-coding RNA, 244 nt
Filed under: Gouania willdenowi (blunt-snouted clingfish)
Lineage: Eukaryota; Metazoa; Chordata; Actinopteri; Blenniiformes; Gobiesocidae
Description: lncRNA (ENSGWIG00000006299.1)
Source: RNAcentral
UAACGCCAGGUCUGUGGAUGGACCAAAGCAUCCCCACUAAGCUGCAUACUGGGAACUGAGACAAACCACAGGAAUUCAAAGCAGAGGGAAAAUGAUAAGCUGGCCUCUUCGUCCACACACCUAACACUCUCUAAAGCAGAGAAUUCAGUGGACCAGCAUAAGACCAAGAACCCCACCUCAGCAGGCAAGCGUUCAGCCUCACAGAGUCACACAUCUCCGUACAACCAUCAUUCUGAUACAGCAG